UACGUAGGGUGCAAGCGUUGUCCGGAAUUAUUGGGCGUAAAGAGCUCGUAGGCGGCUUGUUGCGUCGACUGUGAAAACCCGCAGCUUAACUGCGGGCCUGCAGUUGAUACGGGCAGGCUAGAGUUCGGCAGGGGAGACUGGAAUUCCUGGUGUAGCGGUGAAAUGCGCAGAUAUCAGGAGGAACACCGGUGGCGAAGGCGGGUCUCUGGGCCGAUACUGACGCUGAGGAGCGAAAGCGUGGGGAGCGAACAGG
Molecule: ribosomal RNA, 253 nt
Filed under: uncultured bacterium
Lineage: Bacteria
Description: partial 16S ribosomal RNA
Rfam family: Bacterial small subunit ribosomal RNA
Source: RNAcentral